CGGGCAGCUCGGCUUCAGCGUAAUAAGAUGAUGAGGGAGCAGAAAAGAGAUGCUCUUUUGAAAGAGAAAAGAGCUUCAUCUGGAUCAAAUAGUCCGCCCAGAGUUAUUGUUCUGUUUGGCCUAUCCCGAUCAGUCGACCUUAGUGCGCUUGAACAAGAUCUCCUGAAGCUAUUGUCCGCAGAUGGAACUGUUGUUGUGUAUCCAGCAGUUGCUUCCUCAGAAUAUAAGUUGAGAGCAACGGUUUUAAAAGCACCUCAUG
RNAcentral lists this unclassified non-coding RNA (259 nucleotides) under Hevea brasiliensis (rubber tree). Lineage: Eukaryota; Viridiplantae; Streptophyta; Magnoliopsida; Malpighiales; Euphorbiaceae. The record is from RNAcentral.